This 301-nucleotide ribosomal RNA is filed under the name uncultured bacterium. Its description in RNAcentral is "partial 16S ribosomal RNA". It matches the Rfam family "Bacterial small subunit ribosomal RNA", at positions 509 to 809 of the family's 1533-position model. The record is from RNAcentral.
CAGUCGCCGCGGUAAUACGAGGGGGGCAAGCGUUGUUCGGAAUUAUUGGGCGUAAAGGGUGCGUAGGCGGUUUGGCAAGUUUGGUGUGAAAUCUUCGGGCUCAACUCGAAGUCUGCAUCGAAAACUGCCGGGCUUGAGUAUGGGAGAGGUGAGUGGAAUUUCCGGUGUAGCGGUGAAAUGCGUAGAUAUCGGAAGGAACACCUGUGGCGAAAGCGGCUCACUGGACCAUAACUGACGCUGAUGCACGAAAGCUAGGGGAGCAAACAGGAUUAGAUACCCCGGUAGUCCCUGUCUCUUAUAU